Unclassified non-coding RNA from Mustela putorius furo (domestic ferret), 102 nucleotides. It matches the Rfam family "Y RNA". From Rfam's summary of the family: Y RNAs are components of the Ro ribonucleoprotein particle (Ro RNP), in association with Ro60 and La proteins. The Y RNAs and Ro60 and La proteins are well conserved, but the function of the Ro RNP is not known. NCBI's taxonomy places the organism in Eukaryota, Metazoa, Chordata, Mammalia, Carnivora, Mustelidae. The record is from Ensembl.
GGCUGGUUUGACUGCAGUGGUAUUUUCAAUUAAUUGAUCACAGCCAGUUAGAGAUUUCUUGUUUUUUUCUCCACUUCCACUCUUUCACUUGACUAGACUUAA